RNAcentral lists this long non-coding RNA (1548 nucleotides) under Durio zibethinus. RNAcentral describes it as "long non-coding RNA (DZIB_LNC000826)". Lineage: Eukaryota; Viridiplantae; Streptophyta; Magnoliopsida; Malvales; Malvaceae. The record is from RNAcentral.
CUUGCCAAACAAAUCAGGUCUGGUCGGAUCUAAACAAACAGAUUAAAGCCUCAUUUCUUCUCUAAAACGGUGUAUUUCUUUGUAUAAAAAUAAAAAAUUAAAGCGCUUUUGCACUUUCUAUUUCUGCUUCUCUUUUCAAAUCUCUCUUAACUUUUUCGCAGCAAGCCUGAUCGGAAAUUCCAAAUGCCAAAAACCGAUCUACUACUGCCGCUGCCUAUGCUAGUUGGUGCUGUCUACCAACGCCAGAAACCCCCAAAAAGACAUUUCUCAAAUCCACGCGACCUUCUCUUCUACCAAUUAAGCAUCACAAUAAGAUUAGAAUUUUCAAAACUAUACCCAAGAAAGCUUAGAUCUAAAUCACGACCACCGCCGCCUCUUUCUAAACUUCCAAACCAUCUUCAAACUCUCAAGAACAAUACCAAAUCAGCAGAACUCGAAAAUCCAGAAACUGGUCACGGCCCACUACCUUUGUCGCUGUAUGCUAGCUUUCCGAGACCACCAAGGAGUUCUUCUGGGUCCCUUCUUCAGCCUUCUCUGUAACCUCAAAAGUUUCGAGAAACUUAAAACCAAAGAUUAGAACCUCUCACCACUGAUUUGAUUUGAUUUUGUUUUUUUACUGCUGGAAUUUGUGAAUGAACCACUGUCUUGUGUGUGUCUCGAUUCUAAGUUUCUGAUUGUUUGCUUUUUUUAGAUGAUUGCCUGUGUUUCCUUGCUUUUGGGUUUGGGUUUGUGCUGUUGCUGGCUUUUGGGUUUUUUGUUUGGAGGCUGUUUGCUAAAUAGGUUAUUGUUUUUGGGUUUCUCAGAGGCUAAUUCUCAGCUUUAUUUUUGCCGAGUCUGUGUUGGUUUGUUUCCAUUCUUCCCGCUAGUGAUUCUAUUGUUUAGAUUGCUGGGUGUUCUCGAUUUGCAAGACAGAUUGGGCUUGGGAGAUUGCUGAUCAUUCCUGGAAAUUGCUUGGCUCUAUUGCUUAUUCUUGCUCUCUCAAAUCUUUUAUGUUCGAAUUGCUUCUCGUUGUUGUCAAUAGCCGAGAUUGAGUUAUUGAAUUGGGGUUCCUGCCAUCUUUCAAUCCUGUUAAGCUAAUUAUUGAGUGCUUGUCAGCUUGUGUUCUUGGUUCCUUCCAUUGCUUGCUGGUUUUAGGUUUGCAAGCUUGUUUUUUAAAAUUGACGUUGAUUGUGUUUUUCAAAUUGCUUUGUUUGCUAUGAUACUUUGUGGCCAAUUGCUGAUGAUUGCUUGAUGGGUUUAGGUUUUUGAAUUGCUUGUGGGACUAUGUGAGGCUGCGUACUGCUAGCUGGAAAAUUAGGCUUGAAUGCCAAAUUUUGUUUUUGCUCGGGAUUGCUUGGUGUUUUGACUUUCUUAUAUUGAUUCAAAACUUCAACCAAAAUCGCCUUUUUGCUCUCUUUGCUGGAUUUCUUCUGGUUCUUGUAUUGCUAAUUGCUUCACUGUUAUGUUAGACUUUGACAAUGUAAAACAUGAUAUGAUAAUACAACAUCAUCUUGAUAUAAAAAGUGGAUAAAGGACACAGACUUAAAAUUUUAGUAGUUAUUAUUUAUG